GAUGAACGCUGGCGGCGUGCCUAAUACAUGCAAGUCGAGCGAACAGACGAGGAGCUUGCUCCUCUGACGUUAGCGGCGGACGGGUGAGUAACACGUGGAUAACCUACCUAUAAGACUGGGAUAACUUCGGGAAACCGGAGCUAAUACCGGAUAAUAUAUUGAACCGCAUGGUUCAAUAGUGAAAGACGGUUUUGCUGUCACUUAUAGAUGGAUCCGCGCCGCAUUAGCUAGUUGGUAAGGUAACGGCUUACCAAGGCAACGAUGCGUAGCCGACCUGAGAGCGUGAUCGGCCACACUGGAACUGAGACACGGUCCAGACUCCUACGGGAGGCAGCAGUAGGGAAUCUUCCGAAAUGGGCGAAAGCCUGACGGAGCAACGCCGCGUGAGUGAUGAAGGUCUUCGGAUCGUAAAACUCUGUUAUUAGGGAAGAACAAAUGUGUAAGUAACUAUGCACGUCUUGACGGUACCUAAUCAGAAAGCCACGGCUAACUACGUG
This 497-nucleotide ribosomal RNA is filed under the name uncultured bacterium. RNAcentral describes it as "partial 16S ribosomal RNA". It matches the Rfam family "Bacterial small subunit ribosomal RNA", at positions 28 to 507 of the family's 1533-position model. The record is from RNAcentral.